UACAAAGAAUGGCAACACCGCCAUAACCCGUGUCACUGUCUCUACGAAAUAUUUGAUAACCUCUAAAUCUAAUUCUGUCAGAAGAUUUCAGCCAAGUUUCAUUUAAAACACAAAUAUCAACAUCUAAAUUAACUAAAAGUUGUGAUAAAAUAGGAAUUUUUGGUUUUAAACUCUGUAUGUUGUGCUGUAAAAUAGUUAACUUUCUAUCCAUUCUGAUUGACAUUUUUAAUAAACAAUUCUUUAAUAGUUGAUGAAUUGACUGGACAAAUCUUAGCUACAGCAACGUGUUCUCCUUUGCAAUUGAUACACAAAGGGAGUAUGCAUAGACCAUAACUUACUUGCUCAGGUAGAACAUUACCAGCAAAGGUGACUGAGACGGUCUGCAAAGGGACGACACCUUCAGGGGUCCUCUUGGUGAAUCUCCUCACAGCCAAGAUCUCCUGCGAACUGAUCAAUUUGUCAAAAAGAUGCCGGUUGCUCAAUUCAGUUGGAAUGAAUUUGAUUACUCCUGUUCGCUCUGAGUUGGAGGCAGGAAUGAAUGCCUUGAUUUCGUGAGAUGAUAGAAAGGCCGAAUUAGACAGUAAAGAGUUGGCGUUUUUCGGGUUAUCGAAAUAUACAGCAUACCGCAAUGCA
Long non-coding RNA from Ostrinia nubilalis (European corn borer), 633 nucleotides. RefSeq lists it as uncharacterized. Lineage: Eukaryota; Metazoa; Arthropoda; Insecta; Lepidoptera; Crambidae. The record is from RefSeq and is a predicted model, not a curated record. The transcript has 3 exons.